GCAGCCGCGGUAAUACGUAGGUGGCAAGCGUUGUCCGGAUUUACUGGGUGUAAAGGGCGUGUAGGCGGGACUUUAGGUCAGAUGUGAAAUACCGAGGCUUAACCUCGGAGCUGCAUUUGAAACCGGAGUUCUUGAGUGCCGGAGAGGAAAGCGGAAUUCCUAGUGUAGCGGUGAAAUGCGUAGAUAUUAGGAGGAACACCAGUGGCGAAGGCGGCUUUCUGGACGGUAACUGACGCUGAGGCGCGAAAGCGUGGGGAGCAAACAGGAUUAGAUACCCC
This 278-nucleotide ribosomal RNA is filed under the name uncultured Terrisporobacter sp. Its description in RNAcentral is "partial 16S ribosomal RNA". It matches the Rfam family "Bacterial small subunit ribosomal RNA", at positions 511 to 788 of the family's 1533-position model. Lineage: Bacteria; Bacillati; Bacillota; Clostridia; Peptostreptococcales; Peptostreptococcaceae. The record is from RNAcentral.